UACGUAGGGACCGAGCGUUGUCCGGAAUCCUUGGGCGUAAAGAGCGUGUAGGCGGCCUGUUAAGUCUUGCGUGAAAUCUCGGGGCUCAACCCCGGACUUGCAGUGGGUACGGGCAGGCUAGAGUGUGGUAGGGGAGACUGGAAUUCCUGGUGUAGCGGUGGAAUGCGCAGAUAUCAGGAGGAACACCGAUGGCGAAGGCAGGUCUCUGGGCCACUACUGACGCUGAGAAGCGAAAGCAUGGGGAGCAAACAGG
This 253-nucleotide ribosomal RNA is filed under the name uncultured bacterium. Its description in RNAcentral is "partial 16S ribosomal RNA". It matches the Rfam family "Bacterial small subunit ribosomal RNA", at positions 524 to 776 of the family's 1533-position model. The record is from RNAcentral.